This 271-nucleotide ribosomal RNA is filed under the name uncultured bacterium. RNAcentral describes it as "partial 16S ribosomal RNA". It matches the Rfam family "Bacterial small subunit ribosomal RNA", at positions 30 to 301 of the family's 1533-position model. The record is from RNAcentral.
AUUGAACGCUGGCGGCGUGCCUAACACAUGCAAGUCGAGCGGUAACAGGUGUAGCAAUACAUGCUGACGAGCGGCGAACGGGUGAGUAAUGCUUCGGAAUCUACCCAAUGGUGGGAUAACCAGCCGAAAGGUUGGCUAAUACCGCAUACGUCCUACGGGAGAAAGCAGGGGAUCGUAAGACCUUGCGCCAAUGGAUGAGCCGAAGUCGGAUUAGCUAGUUGGAGGGUAACGGCCGUACCGAGGCGACGAUCCGUAGCUGGUCUGAGAGGAC